Staphylococcus pseudintermedius is the source of this 103-nucleotide non-coding RNA. NCBI's taxonomy places the organism in Bacteria, Bacillati, Bacillota, Bacilli, Caryophanales, Staphylococcaceae. The record is from Rfam.
CAUGUAAUAAUUUAUCACGCUCAUAUAAUCUGAAGAAUAUGGCUUUAGAAGUUUCUACCAUGUUGCCUUAAACGACAUGACUAUGAGUAAUGGGACAUCUAUG